ACGGGAGGCAGCAGUGGGGAAUAUUGCACAAUGGGCGCAAGCCUGAUGCAGCGACGCCGCGUGAGCGAAGAAGUAUUUCGGUAUGUAAAGCUCUAUCAGCAGGGAAGAUAAUGACGGUACCUGACUAAGAAGCACCGGCUAAAUACGUGCCAGCAGCCGCGGUAAUACGUAUGGUGCAAGCGUUAUCCGGAUUUACUGGGUGUAAAGGGAGCGUAGGCGGUUUUACAAGUCUGAUGUGAAAGCCCGGGGCUCAACUCCGGUAUUGCAUUGGAAACUGUAGAACUAGAGUGUCGGAGGGGUAAGUGGAAUUCCUAGUGUAGCGGUGAAAUGCGUAGAUAUUAGGAGGAACACCAGUGGCGAAGGCGGCUUACUGGUCGAUUACUGACGCUGAGGCUCGAAAGCGUGGGGAGCAAACAGGAUUAGAUACCCUGGUA
This 434-nucleotide ribosomal RNA is filed under the name uncultured Pseudobutyrivibrio sp. RNAcentral's name for it is "partial 16S ribosomal RNA". It matches the Rfam family "Bacterial small subunit ribosomal RNA", at positions 341 to 792 of the family's 1533-position model. Lineage: Bacteria; Bacillati; Bacillota; Clostridia; Lachnospirales; Lachnospiraceae. The record is from RNAcentral.